RNAcentral lists this ribosomal RNA (27 nucleotides) under Sporobolus alterniflorus (smooth cordgrass). Its description in RNAcentral is "partial 28S ribosomal RNA". The record is from RNAcentral. RNAcentral also lists the same sequence under 1 other name. Lineage: Eukaryota; Viridiplantae; Streptophyta; Magnoliopsida; Poales; Poaceae.
GUGACCCCAGGUCAGUCGGGAAUACCC